UGGUUAAAUAAGCUAUCUCUCCUCUUGAUACUUUGGACAAUGUGAGACAACCAGAAGGAGGAUAUUAGGUCAUAGGUGGUCGUCGGUCAAGUCAUAAUGGUUCAAACACACAAGAUUAGUUUUGAGUCUUUCAGAAAUUAGUAUACCAGCUAGCAUGGUUCAAUUUACUUUUGUUGUAGCCUUUUCUAUUUCCUUUUUAUCUUG
RNAcentral lists this long non-coding RNA (204 nucleotides) under Sorghum bicolor (sorghum). Its description in RNAcentral is "long non-coding RNA (SBIC_LNC015013)". The record is from RNAcentral. Lineage: Eukaryota; Viridiplantae; Streptophyta; Magnoliopsida; Poales; Poaceae.